AGCAGCCGCGGUAAUUCCAGCUCCAAUAGCGUAUAUUAAAGUUGUUGCAGUUAAAAAGCUCGUAGUUGAAUUUUAGGCCUGACCGGACGGUCCGUCUCUGGCGAGUACUGUUCUGUUGUCGGGUCUAUCCUUCUGGUGAGCCGGUAUGCCCUUUAUUGGGUGUGUCGGGGAACCAGGACCAUUACCUUGAAAAAAUUAGAGUGUUUAAAGCGGGCUUUUGCUUGAAUAGAUUAGCAUGGAAUAAUAGAAUAGGACGUUGGUUCUAUUUUGUUGGUCUAGGACCACCGUAAUGAUUAAUAGGGAUAGUUGGGGGCAUUAGUAUUCAAUUGUCAGAGGUGAAAUUCUUGGAUUUAUUGAAGACUAACUACUGCGAAAGCAUUUGCCAAGGAUGUUUUCAUUAAUCAAGAACGAAAGUUAGGGGACCGAAGACGAUCAGAUACCGUCGUAGUCUUAACCAUAAACUAUGCCGACUAGGAAUCGGGCGACGUUAUUUUCAUGACUCGCUCGGCGCCUUAUGGGA
Molecule: ribosomal RNA, 520 nt
Filed under: uncultured Archaeospora
Lineage: Eukaryota; Fungi; Glomeromycota; Glomeromycetes; Archaeosporales; Archaeosporaceae
Description: SSU rRNA
Rfam family: Eukaryotic small subunit ribosomal RNA
Source: RNAcentral